Gallus gallus (chicken) is the source of this 6148-nucleotide long non-coding RNA. RefSeq lists it as uncharacterized. The record is from RefSeq and is a predicted model, not a curated record. NCBI's taxonomy places the organism in Eukaryota, Metazoa, Chordata, Aves, Galliformes, Phasianidae. The transcript is spliced from 6 exons.
GAGUUACAGCGGGUGCGUAUGCGCGCCGGUGAGCAGCCGUUAGAGCGUCGCGCGCCGCAGCCGUUAGGCGCGUACGGCUGAGGUGGAGUUACCGCCGCUGCGGCUGUGAGGAUGGUGGGGGCGGCUCCUCCCGGUACCGGUUUGCCGUCUGGGCAAAAGCGGGAACGUUUUUUGGAACGAGGACUGAAAAAUCAGGCUUCUGAGAGCGUGAGGGGAAUGAACAAGUAACAAAACAGAAACUGCAGCCCUUUCCUCUGAAACAGUGCAGCGGUGGCCCUGGAAUGGAGAUAGGCGGCAGAACGUAGUUGAUCUUCGUGGAGAUUGCAGAGCAAGCCAGGUUUUAGAGUCUUUAAAUGACAUGUUACAGUGACCAAAGGUGAUGAGGGAAUGCUUUAUCAUUCUGUACUGUCUUUGAAAUGGUGUUGCUGCUCUAGUUUAGGAGGCAAGUUAGACAUUAGGAAAGUAGCAGUGUAUUUUCUUGAAGGUGACUUGGAAGCAGAACCAACAAGUUGAGACUGCUCAAUCUGUGUGUUUCAAAACACACUAAGUGAUAGGACUAAAAGAGUGUGGCACAUCGUGGUGAGGCAGUGCUGACAUCAUGAGUAACACAGAAGUGCCUCAUGUCCAGCCUGUGCAGUCAUCAGUGAAAGAAGCGGGCUGCUGCAAAGCCACUGAGUGGAAGGGCGUGGAGAGCACCUGCACAGGAUAAUGUGGGGCAUUGUCCAACUUCCUACCUCUUCAUGCUCAAGCAAAAUUGUAUAAAGCUGGAAGUUUGGUGUCUGGAAGCUGGAAGCCCCACUUUUGGUGCAGUUAAAAUGUAGGAAUAUGAGCAGCUUGGAACUACUUGUGGGCAUCAGAUACAGCUGUGCCUCCUUCACAUUACCCUGGCCUGGGACAUCUUGAUACAAAAUCAGAUUACUGCCUGUGUAUCUGUAUAAUAUUAAAAGGAAAAGAACUGCACCAAACACACACCGAGUGAUGAGGCAACCUGACCAGUACUCUGUUCUUUCGCAAGUUGAGCUAGGAAGCCUGGAGAAGAUUAGAGAGUAAAUUAUGUGCUUGUUUCUAUUUCCUGUUGGGAGUGCCUCUCUGUUGGAUGAAGAACUGAGAAGAUACUCGUGGGAGGAGUCUGCCUUUCUUAGCGAACCAACAUUUUUUUAAGAAAUUAACAAUCAAUUAGAAGUUUCAGAAGGAAGCUGGAUGCUGCUAAAUUCUUUUUUAAAAAGUGAGGGAAAAUAGGAGGAUUAAAAAUAAUUUUAUAUCUUAAUAGAUGCUGUUCUUACUCCUCUUUAAUCUGCCUUGCAUAGUGGUGACACUUUUCUUGCAGGCUUCAUUUCCUGAGGAUGUCAGAUCCUAUUUUGAAAAGGAUUCUUAAACUGUCAUGGACACCUCAGCUAAUGAUUUUUUUCUAGUUUGUGGAAAUCAUUAAAAGCCAAAAUCAGGUGCAAUUAAGCAUUAAUAGAAAUGAAGCACGAAAGUGAGCAGUUUCCACAUCACACAUAAUGAAUCAGACCUGAAUGUGCCUCUAACAUCUCUUCAGUUUACUAUUUUAUUUUAGGCACUACUACUCCAUUCCAGUACCACACAAUCUAUUCCAAUUUAUCUUGACAUUUAGAGUUAUUCAAGCUGCAUUUGGACUUUCAAAACUGAAGGUAGAACACAUGGCUGUGUUAUGUCCUGAGCUGAUGAGGAAGCUGAAGAUUUAUCUUCAGUUACUGAGUGAUUCCUUUUCUAGCCAUUACAUCACUGCAACUGUUUCAUAUGCGCAUGCUGAGAACAAAGCUGGGGAUAUUGGUGGGAAAGAUUUGUUGUACUAAUACACAGAUAGGGAAGUGAUUUGGGGGAGUGAAGGGAGGAGAAGAUUUGUAGCAUUCAGCCCCUUCCCAGCAGUGUUUCUAAUGACAGGUUGCGCCACCUAUUCUGCCCAAAUAUCUGGCAGUACACAGAACAGCAAUGAGGAAAUACUUGCUGGGCAACUGGCAAGAUAACCAAUAACAGUGUUGACAUUAAUUAUGUUUCUGAUUUCAUGCCUCAUUGGUACGAUGUGAUUGAUGUGUGGGAGAAACUAUUUACAGUCAUAUUAGGACUGAAAAGUUGUAGAUUGUGACAUGCAAAAUUGGAUGGCUACCUCUUUUACAUUUAACUAAAUAACACAAAUAGGACCUCUGAACAGUAGAGAAGUAAUUGCAAACUGGAAAUAUUUGUGUUGCACAUAGUGGGUGAAAUGCCACGGGAAUUCUAAGUUUAAAAUGCUGGCUUUAAGAGACUAAUUUUAUGAGCACUAACAGCAUUUUUUGUCAUAGUGUGCAGUAGGAUAACAGUAACCGUAUAUCAUGCUUCAGAGUAUAAGGAUUUUUAAACCAUUAAGCAUUGUUCUGCAUUGGUAUGUGCAGAUGCAACAGUGCAUUGCACAUCUGGCUCUGCUGAGAUCUGCUUGUACAACACUGGCUAUUGGUCAGACACUUGGAUUGAAUGUGAUAGAUUUUAUGACGCAGCACCAAUUUUUCCUUUUAAGAAGUCAACAACAAAAUGGUGCAGAGUCCUAUGCUAUUCCUGAGUACCGGUAGUUAUCAAGAACUAGAAGUAAAACAAUUUCACGAAUGCCAGUAUUGUCUGACUUGUCGCCUUGCAUGCAAAGACAGGCAGUUGGCAAUGCCUUUUCAGUUAACUUUUCAGUUAUCAGGUUCUGUUCUAUGCUCUUUUCUAUACUAUUUAGAAUAAUUAAAAAUACCUUGAUUCAAGUUAAGUUCUUUGCAUUUCCAUUUUAAUAUUAGCAUACUCUUCUUUUUUCUCAAGUGUUUGUUACUGUUUGUAUUGAGAGAUAACAAAAGGAAAUUUUGCUUAGACACUAAUGUGAUCCAUUUUAAAUUACUUUCUAACUAGUUCAUCCUCAGAAAUAAGACUUAAUCAUCUAACUGUAGCCAAUAAAUAAGUCUUUUUUGCAAGUGUUUAUUAUACAUCUCUCAAUUUCUGAUCAACAGAAUAGGUGGCAGUUGUUUUGGAAUUGUACUUCCUGCCUGGAAAAAUGAUUUUGCAGCAUUUCAUUAUUUAAGUCUUGACAGAAAAUAGUGUGUGCUUGAAUCAAAUACUUCUUACUGCUCAUGAAACAGCUUGUGUACAGUUCAGUACUGGACUAAGUAUUUUUCUUAAAUUCAGCAGCUAAAGCAAAUAGGCUGAGAAUAUUUUGUUGUUGUUGUUCCGUGUGUUAAUAUUAUUUUAUGUUAGACCAUACUUUCAGUCCUUCAAACUUGAAAAUAGUUAAGCAUGCUUUCUGCUUAACUUUGGUGCUAUUGCUUUAUUUAUUUCCUUAUUGUUUUGUUGUGAAUUGAAACCUCACCUCUGAAUAUUUUUAAAAACCAUAAUCUAGCUGUGCAUCAGUAUGAAGCAAUCCCCAUUUCCUGUCCGAAAUUAUUGCAUGGUACUGCUGUGCACUGUGAAACAGCUGCAACAUCCGGACUGAAAAUUUUGUAUGAGAGGAGAAAGUGGAGUAAUUAGUCCUGCAUUCUGCCCUUGAGUUCCCUGCACACUCUACAGCUUUACUUGGAAAAAGCAGUCCUCAAACAGGAAGGAUUGCUAUUUUGAGGAAAUUUCCUGGGCUACCCUGACAAGUUCAGAGUGUGCAUUGUGAAAGCUCUUACUAUGAUGAGGCUGUCAAGCUUUUGACAGAUACCAGCUUUCCUGCAGGGAGACAGAUUUGAUGAAAGUGUGGAGUGCCUUCCCUCCCCGCACGUGUGUGGGAAGGGCAUUUAUCAUUGCUUUGUCUGAGACACAAAUGGCACUGUUGACUUUUAGUUUUCUGAGGUGGUUGGCCCCUGUUUCAGAAGGCACAUUGCGUAUCUCAGAACAAAUAAAAAUCUGUGUCAUGGAGUAGGUCACUGACCUUUUCUCUUUCUGUAACUACUUCAUCCACAGUUGUUGAUCUCACUCUGAUUACUUGUGGUUCUCAGGGUACAAAAUAGACAACCUUUCACUCCAGUUGCUGUUAGUUAAUGUUUUCUGGAUUAUUUUGGCAGGAAUGCUUGUGCAGCUGCUUCUGUUUUUUUUUUUUUAAUCACAGAGCAUCACUGGGGACUGAAAUCCUUGUUCUGAUGAUGGAAUAUUUUUAGCCUAUACUGGUGGAACUCCUAAAAUCCCUGUGCUAGUGCCUCUUAUCCUAUAGAAUUUAGAUAAGACAACCAUCAAACUGUUCAUUACAUGGCUGUGCUACCUGCUAACGCUUUACAAUCUCCUAAACAAGAUGGGGUUUUCUGAAGUUUGUCAUGCGGUGUCAUCACCCUUCCCUUUUAUUCUCAUCACAUUGCCACUGCUCUUAAUAUAUUAAUUUUGCAAAAAAUAAUUUCUCCUAGUUAUGCCUCAUUAGCAGAAUAAAAACAAUUCUGGGCUGUCAAUAGGAAUGAAGAUGAAACAGGAACACAUGCAGGAGAUACUUUGCAACUGGAAACACUAAUUCAUUCCUCAGAUAAGAUAAAAGAAGAUGCAGAUGAGGACAGUCAAGCAGUGGAGCAACUUUUCUAGAGAAGUUUUGUAGUCUUGAAUCUUAGAGGUUUUCAGGACCAGCCUGGAUAAAGUUCUGAUUAAUCUGUUCUCAUAGCUGACUUUGCUUGGAGCAGAUUAAACAAGAGACCUUCUGAGGUCUCUUCCAACCCAAAUUAUCCUGUUAUUCAAACCUGUGAAUUCAAGAAAAGCUUAAAGGUAUCUAGUGCAAGGCUGGUAAAUCCUGCCACAAUCUGGCCUGCUUUUUACCUGCAUCCUCCUCCUUUCUUUGAUUGCCCUUCUUUCUAGUCAGACUGCUUCCAUCUCCUUUGUCUGUGAGUUGUCCCAUGUUUGCAUGGAGUGCUGUCUAAAAGAGAAUGACAGAAUGACUGAAGUUGUAAAGGACCUCUGUGUCUGAAUCUUGUCCACCCCUUCUGCUCAAGCAGGGCUACCUAGAGCAGGUUGCCCAGGAGCAUGUCCAGGCAUGUUUUUGAAGGAGAGAGACUCUACAGUGUUUCUGGGCAACCUGUGCCAUUGCUCUGUCACCCUCACAAUACAAGAAGUAUUUUGUAAUGUUCAGAUAGAACCUCCUGUGUCUCAGUCUGUGUUCACAGCCUCCUGUCCUGUCAAUCUGCGCCACUGAAAAGAGUCUGACUCUACUCUUUUUGUGCUCUUCCUUCAGGUAUUCACGGACAUUGCUGAGUUCUCCCUUAGCCUUCUCUUCUCCCCACAGAACAGUCCUAGCUCCUUCAGCCUUUUCUCAUAGGAGAGGUGCUACAGUCCCUUUGUAAGCUUUGUGACCUUUUGUUGGAUUUUCUCCAGUAUGUCUAUGUCUCUCUAGUUCUAAGGAGCCCAGAAGUAGACUCAGCACUCCAGGUGUGGCUUUGCCAGUGCUGAGAGGAUCACCUCCCUUGAGCUGUUGGUAAUACUUGAGCUGCUGUAGCCCAAGGUAUCAUUAACAUUCUUACUGAUGAGAGCAAGUUGCUGGCUCAUGUGUAACUUGGUUUCCACAGGUCUUUUCUGCCUGGUUGCUUUCCAAUGGAGUGGCCCCCGGCAUAUAUUUGUGCAUAGAGUUGUUCCUUCCCAGAUGCAGGACUUGGGCUUCUUGUUGAAUUUCAACUGGUCACCAAAAACCUGUAUCAAAUCAGAAAGCAGAUAAGCACACUGAAAAGACACGUUGUGAAGAGGCAGCUCUGAAGACCUUCAAGGGAGGUGCCCUGAGGAGAAUCCCGUACUGUGGACAGAGCACACGUGUUUUAGGUGCUGUCUUUGGUCUCUGCAUUUUAGAGAAGGUUAACUACAUCACAACAGCGCUUCUGACCAUGUCUGACAUCCAGGGUUGCAUAUUCACUUAAGAAACAUCCUCUGCCUGUUUAUGCUGUGGAAUUUCCCAACCACUUUGUUAUGACUUUGUUGUGAACUCAUCCAUAAAACACUUGGAAGCACGUGCAUAAUAAAUACUUGACUAUUUCUACUGAAUGCAGUAAUGGACAAUUACAUGUUUUUGUAGGACAGAAGACUUUAUUAGGGAGCAGCUUGUAGUUAAAAGACUACUUACUUGAAAUCUACCUUGAAAAGCAACUUAAGCCAGUCUUUGAUGCAGUGAAGCAUGAGUCCCGCCUCAGCUGCAAUUGAAGCAAGAAAAAAAAAUCAAUAAACCAUUUUUAAGAGACAA